AUGGAGAAGGCGACACAGGAGUCUGAGCAGGAGGCAUGGCAGGGUGCGGUGGAGGCCCUCCUCCCGUCCACGCCCGCCGCCGCGGCGUGGCCCCACCUUGCCAGCUUCUGCGCGCUGCACCGGUACCUCUCCGGCGUCGACGUUUGCAAGCGCGUGGCCGGGGAGGACGGCCACCCUGGAUGCGUCCGCUACGUCGCCUCCCGCGCGGCGCCUGCACCGGGAGAGGAGGACCAGGACCAGCACGAGGCGGCGCCUGCCGCGAUCGCGACAUGGGCCCGCGAAGAGCUGCUCGAGCUGGAUGACGCCGCGCGCCGGCUGAGCUACGCCGUAGUUGGCAGCAACAUGGGGUUCGGCCGCUACGUCGCCACCAUGAUGGUUGUCGAGGAGGAGACAGAGGCGGCGGGUUGCAAGCUCGUGUGGGAGUUCGAGUGCGAGCCUGUGCAGGGCUGGAGCAGGGACGGGCUCGUCGGCUACCUCGAGACCACCGUCAAGGGCAUGGCUGCGCGGAUCGUGGAGGCCGCCGCCGAUUAA
Molecule: ribosomal RNA, 531 nt
Filed under: Triticum aestivum (bread wheat)
Lineage: Eukaryota; Viridiplantae; Streptophyta; Magnoliopsida; Poales; Poaceae
Description: partial small subunit ribosomal RNA
Source: RNAcentral